CAUGGGUUUAAAUUUAAGCUCUGAAUAGCUGCAAUAGCUUAGAUUCUCAAGGUAGUAUAACAUCUAACUCCUGUUGGAGGUAGGGCAGUUCAGUCUCUGGGAAAUUGCCAUUGUCUGAAAUAUGACAGUGACCGAGAUAAGCACAGCCUCAGGCAUCUCCUCUUGCCUUAAUAGCUAGAUAAGUUGUUUACUGUCUAGGUCAGUAGAUGGAUGUCUCACACGCAGUAUGUCACACCAUCUGUGAGCUAUGACCAGAUAAUGCUACUGCUUCUGCAAAGGCCUCAGAAUCAGUCACACAAUUGUCUGCAACUCCGAACAGCAGCUGCAAGAUCACAACUGUGCACAGUAGUCCCGCCCCAUAGACUGUUGCGGUUCCUUAGCCCAAAUCCAUCAACAGAAAAUGUGGAGGGCAUAUGGGAAGAGAGGGAAGAUGAUAUUUGUCUAAGAGCACCAUGGAACAAAACCACUUGAAUUUAAGAAGAAAACAAAAACAUGGAGGGCUUCAGAGAGCUGUGUGUGCUGUGGACCUCCCAGAUGGCUGCCAGCCCCACAGAGAGUGAGGCAGCAGUCCCAACCAGUGGAACACUCUUAAGAGCUGUAAGAAGAAAGUUUUAAGAGGGAAGUUCAUGUUCAAGCUAUCCUGCAAGCUCCACAGAGGAUGUCAAAACCUGCUGAUAUCUAGCAGAGUCAACUCCAAGUUUGUGUAUCCUGGUCCACUCUACCUUUCCAUCAGGCAGUACAUGUGGAAAUGGAAAAGUAGCUCUCUAAUUAAUCAAAGUCAGAUCUGCCUGAACGCCUGGAGUUGCUGCUGAUCCUUGUCCCAGCUUCUACCAUGUUCUCUCUCUAUGUUUUUUACCUUGAAAACUUCUGCUCUGAGCUGGGAAUGCCUGAAGGGCUUGCACGAACAAGGGAGAAUGAGGGAAGAGAAGGAAAGAACUGAAAAAGUGCAAAAAGAAAGGAGGGAAGGAAGUGAAAAGCAAUCCUGCAAGCCAGAUUUUGCCACAGGACAGACUGCCAUCUUCAGGGGAAAAGGGAUCUGAGAUGAAAACUGCUCAUGUAAAGUAGCCUCUCCCAGAAGCUGUCCCAUUUUUCUACAGCAACAUGACCAGUAUUGACUGCUUUCUAGGAUUCCUCCACCUUUAUAGCUUAUCUCUGUCCCUGCUGUAUCGUGUUCAAACUGUACAGACCCAGCUCAACCCAAUUCCUGGCCAGUUUAAUGAUGAGCUUCAAAAUUAAGCUUACUUUUCUGAGAUGAUCUGAGAAUAGCAUUCAAGGCUAAUUGAGAAUUUUUUUUACACAUCGUUUAAAGAUAUUGAUUCUUUAACAAAUAAAAAAGGCAAAACUAGUAUAGAGGAAAAGGCUGUAUGAAUGUUUUUUCAGGGGAAAAGUAAACAAAUGGAAAAAUAAAAAAUAUAUAUUUUAAAUACUUAUCUUUUAAAAAGAAUUGUUGAAUCAUAUGAAAUUAUCCCCUUUUGGAUAGCUAUUAGCAUUGCUAUGCAUCCUAAUAUACAAGAGAAACACUGAGUAUUCCAGUGCUGAAUUCCUAUCUCGUAUGCUUUACUAUUCUCUCUCCAGCAUUAGUAUUUUGGAAUUUACCUCACUUACCCUUCCACACACUUAUGCAGUGCUGACUGAUGCUAAUAAAAGUCACAUCUACAUGUGCAGAUUAGAACUCGGUUAUCUAAAGAGUUCAAUUUGAGCAUGAAAUACAGGCAGAGCAAAUAUGGGAUACAUAAGGGAUUUUGAGACUUUGUUAAAAGUAAGGAAAUGGUACUGGGAUUUUGUUAAAUGAUAGGCAAGGAAAUCUUCCAGCUAUCACAAAGUGAUGUCAGAAUGAUAUUGCUGUGAACUGGGAGCACAGUAGGAUUUUCUUGCAGGUUGUCAGAG
Gallus gallus (chicken) is the source of this 1887-nucleotide long non-coding RNA. Lineage: Eukaryota; Metazoa; Chordata; Aves; Galliformes; Phasianidae. The record is from Ensembl.